This is an RNA transcript of Chenopodium quinoa (quinoa), 1940 nucleotides long. It is a transcript of the gene named zinc finger BED domain-containing protein DAYSLEEPER-like, with no coding region annotated. The transcript is spliced from 3 exons. The record is from RefSeq and is a predicted model, not a curated record. Lineage: Eukaryota; Viridiplantae; Streptophyta; Magnoliopsida; Caryophyllales; Amaranthaceae.
UUUUUUUUUUUAAUCGUGAUGAUAAACUUGAAUUUUCCUAAGCACAAUAGAGAAUUGAAAGUAAAGUAUUUGAAAUAGUGUCAAAAGUCAAAACUGUGUCGACUAAAAAACAAGUAACUAAACUUGUGUAAGUGACGAGUAUGGUGUUUUACUUAUGUUUAUCCUUGCUUUGUUUAAGGUGGAGGAAAAUUUGAGGAUUCUGUUUUCAUGGAGAUGAUGAUGUCCGCUAUCAUAGAACACGGUCUUCCAUUGACAUUGUUUGAGCAUAGUGGCACUAGAGACGUCUUGGCCAAUCUAAAGCCGAAUGUUAAACACAUUAGUACAGAUGCGGCCAAGGGAAAGUGUAUGGAAGCGUAUGAAAGGGAGAGAGCCAAGUUUAAACAUGAUUUGGGGAGUAUUUCGGGUAGAUUAUGUUUGACAAUCGAUAUUUGGGUGGAUCCUUGUACUAAUGACUACCUUUGCUUGACCGCGAAUUAUGUGGAUUCUAAUUGGAAAUUGCAAAGCAAGUUUUUAAAUCUUUUUCGCUUGUCUUUUCCGUGGGGUGCAUCUAGCCUGCGAUCAGCAGUUUACGAUGUAUUGUGCAAGUGGGGAAUCGAGAAGAAAGUAUUUUCUAUCACUUUCGAUAGUGGAAGGUGUGAUGAGACUGUACAAGACCUGUUAAGGGAGUGUCUUAAUGGGAAAGAUGGAGCUUUACUUUGCAAUGGUGACUAUCUUCAUGUUUGUUGUGGGGCUUGCUUCAUGGAUCAUAUGGGCGAAGAGUGUUUCAAGCUGAUUGAUAGCCCUAUAAGUAAGAUCAGAGAGGGUGUGCAUUACAUAAUGGGUCAUGAGAAGAACAGACUCAAGUUUGAAGAAGCUGCAUUACUCAUAUUCCAAGGUGAAUUUGAGCCUUUGUGGUCAGAUAGCUACUUAAGAUGGAAUUCCACUUAUUUGUUGCUCGAGAGGGCAGUUAAGUAUCGGUAUGCCUUUGAACAUGUGAUGAUUGAUGACGAGUAUACUGAUUGGCAUUUGACAGUAGAAGAGUGGUCUAGGGUUGAAAAGAUGUGUAAGCUUCUGAAGCCUCUUUAUGACACAGCAAAUCUGUUUUUUAGGCACUGAACACCCAACAGCCAAUUUAUACUUUAUAAAUGUUCUGAAGAUUGGUUUGCUCCUUGUGGAUGCAUUGGAGGAUAAAUACCUUGAGAUAAGUAACUUGGCACGAAGGUUGAAGGGUGAAUUUGAUGUGUACUGGGAUGCUUGUCAUGAAGUUCUUGCGUUGGCUAUAGUAUUUGAUCCUCGCUACAAACUCAGCUUUGUCAAGUUUUGUUAGACAAGGCAAGUGCAGAGAACAGGUAUGAGUGCACCCGUAAACGGCUUGAUAGGCUCUUCAAAAGUUACAAUGAUCAACUGUUUGAAUCACACUCAAAUGAAAUGAAAGAUGAUAUUAUCAAGGGGUUUGACAUAUAUUGCAGAACGAAGGAAAACAACUCAGUUAGCUCAAGUCUGAAUUUGUACUUGAAUGAACCGAGUGUCCGCUGCCAGAAACAGAUGGAUGUUCCCUCUUGGUGGAAGGAAAAUGAACCGCGUUUUGGACAAGAACUAACCCUUAUGGCAAGGGAUAUAUUAAGCAUCCCUAUUACCUCGUUUCCUAAGGAUUCAGUUUUUGGCAUGGGCUACAGAGUUAAAGACAGAUUGAAAGGUGACUGGUAUUCCAAGUGUACAGAAGCGCUGAUAGCUACUCGAAACUGGUUAUACGGAUACCCAGUUGAACCUGCUUACCCUGGAGGACUUAUGGGCAUUGAACAGCGAUUUUGGCGUACCUCAGGUGAGGAAGAGUCUGAUUGAACGUUCCGGAAGUAAAAUUGCUAAUUUUAAACUGCUGUACUUUCUGACAGAUUUUAGCUGCAAUAAUGGGAGUUUUUGUACUGAUAUAUGUGCAUGUUUUUGCAAUCAGAACAUUACCU